UACGGAGGAUCCAAGCGUUAUCCGGAUUCAUUGGGUUUAAAGGGUGCGUAGGCGGAAGAAUAAGUCAGUGGUGAAAGCCUUCAGCUUAACUGAAGAGGUGCCAUUGAUACUGUUUUUCUUGAGUGCAGAUGAAGUGGGCGGAAUGUGUCAUGUAGCGGUGAAAUGCAUAGAUAUGACACAGAACACCGAUUGCGAAGGCAGCUCACUAAACUGUAACUGACGCUGAGGCACGAAAGCGUGGGGAUCAAACAGG
RNAcentral lists this unclassified non-coding RNA (253 nucleotides) under uncultured Sphingobacteriales bacterium. Its description in RNAcentral is "contains 16S-23S intergenic spacer region". It matches the Rfam family "Bacterial small subunit ribosomal RNA", at positions 524 to 776 of the family's 1533-position model. The record is from RNAcentral. Lineage: Bacteria; Pseudomonadati; Bacteroidota; Sphingobacteriia; Sphingobacteriales.